RNAcentral lists this long non-coding RNA (450 nucleotides) under Salvia miltiorrhiza (redroot sage). RNAcentral's name for it is "long non-coding RNA (SMIL_LNC013520)". The record is from RNAcentral. Lineage: Eukaryota; Viridiplantae; Streptophyta; Magnoliopsida; Lamiales; Lamiaceae.
UUGGUACUGGUACAGUGGAGUAAAUGCCUCAGCAAUAGGCGGCUGUUUCUGCUCAUUAACAGUUUUCUGAGCAUCCAACACCGCCUGCAACUGCUCUCUCAACGCACGGACUUCUUCCGCAGUGGCCAUCGUCUUGAGUGUGGCUUUAGAUUUCUGGCGGAGUGAAGCUUCAAGUUCCGGAUCAAAAUCUACUAGAGGUAAAUUUUUAGAUCUUGUGUUCAUGCACCACCUAAACACUUCACCAGAAUCAAUUUAGAACCACAGGAAAAGAAAAAGAACAGAAAUAAAUAACAGAAAAAAAAAAUCCAGAGUAGUAUCAAACAAUUAACAGAAUAGUACUGAUAAAAAUCAGUCCCCGGCAACGGCGCCAAAAACUUGUUCGCUAUUUUAUUUAACACGCCGCAAGUGUACGGGUGCAAUUGUGUACAGUAGCAAGCAAGGUCGUAUUCC